This is a long non-coding RNA of Poecilia latipinna (sailfin molly), 653 nucleotides long. RefSeq lists it as uncharacterized. The record is from RefSeq and is a predicted model, not a curated record. The transcript is spliced from 2 exons. NCBI's taxonomy places the organism in Eukaryota, Metazoa, Chordata, Actinopteri, Cyprinodontiformes, Poeciliidae.
GGCAGAGCCGGGCUGGCUCUGCAGCUUCUGAUUGUUUGUGCUCGUUAUCUCUGAUUUUUCAGUUUAAGCAUGAACCUCUGUUCAGAGUAAUGGGGGUAGUCAGUCAGCUGGGGGUCGUUUGGAUGAGUGUUGACAGUGUUGAGCUCUUUAUGCACAGUCAAAUCAUGUUUAAAGGUCAUAAUAGAUCUAAUUAUGACUGGAUUGUUCAUGUUAUGGAGGUGAAAACUGUGCUGUCAUGCAGCAGUCGUAUGUUCCUGCUUUGCAUGCCUUGGUCUGUCCCCGAUCAGGUCUGUGUUUCCCAACAAGAUAUCUCAGUCUGUUCCUUUCAUCUUCCUCACAAACGGCAUCCUGUAAAUGCAUCAAAGAUAAAAAAAAAAAAUAGACAUUUUGUGAUGCUGGACUGGAGGAAGUGUGUUUGAAUUCUCAUUUCAUCCAUGCAUUUUGUCACAUUUCUUGCAUGAUCAUCCAGAGUAAACAGCAAUGCUUCUUUUCCUCUGCAUUUAGUGGAAUUAACAUUAACUCAGUGACUAUCUUACAUGCUCUGAUGUAUCGGAUCAGCUGAAAUGUUCAGGUCAUGUAGAGACCAAAAAAAGACCACAAUGGUCAGCAGAAACAUCUCCUACCUUUGACAGUCGUCUCUAGUUCAUAUUGUU